AUGUGUAGAUCCUUUAAGCAGU
RNAcentral lists this non-coding RNA (22 nucleotides) under Arabidopsis thaliana (thale cress). The record is from RNAcentral. Lineage: Eukaryota; Viridiplantae; Streptophyta; Magnoliopsida; Brassicales; Brassicaceae.